CAGCAGCCGCGGUAACACGGAGGGUGCAAGCGUUAUCCGGAUUUAUUGGGUUUAAAGGGUCCGUAGGCGGAUCUGUAAGUCAGUGGUGAAAUCUCACAGCUUAACUGUGAAACUGCCAUUGAUACUGCAGGUCUUGAGUAAAUUUGAAGUGGCUGGAAUAAGUAGUGUAGCGGUGAAAUGCAUAGAUAUUACUUAGAACACCAAUUGCGAAGGCAGGUCACUAAGAUUUAACUGACGCUGAUGGACGAAAGCGUGGGGAGCGAACAGGAUUAGAUACCCCGGUAGUCCCUGUCUCUUAUAU
This 301-nucleotide ribosomal RNA is filed under the name uncultured bacterium. RNAcentral's name for it is "partial 16S ribosomal RNA". It matches the Rfam family "Bacterial small subunit ribosomal RNA", at positions 509 to 809 of the family's 1533-position model. The record is from RNAcentral.